Long non-coding RNA from Mangifera indica (mango), 933 nucleotides. RefSeq lists it as uncharacterized. The transcript has 2 exons. Lineage: Eukaryota; Viridiplantae; Streptophyta; Magnoliopsida; Sapindales; Anacardiaceae. The record is from RefSeq and is a predicted model, not a curated record.
GAAGGUUGCAAUUUGAUUGGAGGGAUUUACUGCAUGGACUGAUGUCUACUUAUACCAACGUUCAACACAGCCUUCUCUGCAUCGGAAAGCAGAAGCUCAAUCUUUCCAUGGCUCACACCUCUAAGUCUUCCAACUCCUGCACCACCAAGCCCGCCACCAACAAAAUAGACCAUGGUCAAAAACACAAGGAAGUUGUAACUCACCCUCAUCACCACCCUCAUCAUCACCCUCAUCACCAGCCUCAUCAUCAGCCUCAUCACCAGCCUCAUCACCAGCCUCAUCACCACCAUACCGAGGCCACCAACGAGUUGGGAAAAGGAGUAAAAGUCCAAGUGACAAACAUAGAAACCAUCGAGUUGGGAAAUGGAGGAAAAGUCCAAGUGACAAACAAAGAAACCAUCGAGUUGGGAAAAGGAGAAAAAGUCCAAGUGACAAACAAAGAAACCAUCGAGUUGGGAAAAGGAGAAAAAGUCCAAGUGACAAACAAAGAAACAGUUUUCAAAGGUGGGAAAUCUGCUUAUACCAAGUAAUUCCUUGCAAGUUUCCAGUUUAUAAAGAAGUUUGCUGCUGCAGAUGUGAAGAUAUCCAUACUGGGUUAAUCAGAACUUGAAUAUGUCAGAAGAAUUAUGCCUAAUUUUUUCUUUUUUCGGUUGCAUUACUUGGUUGACAAAGUAAUAUCUUUAUUAUAAUAGUGGUUCCAAUCGAUGUUUUUACUUUUUAGUCUUGUCUUGUGUUGGUUGAAUGUCGGUCCAAUAGUCGUUUAUAUUAUGGCUGAAUCAGUUUGAUCUGCCAGUUAAACCUCAUCUGUUUCAAUUUCUGGCCAAUCCGAUCUGAAUCGGAUUUGACAUUGUCUUCGGUCAGGCCGAUCCGAUUCAGGUUUUUUAACAAGAGUGGUUCAAUUUCCUGGUAUAUCAAAUGAAAAUUUGCGCAAUA